UACGGAGGGUGCAAGCGUUAUCCGGAUUCACUGGGUUUAAAGGGUGGCGUAGGCGGGCAGGUAAGUCAGAGGGUGAAAAUCUCCGAGCUUAACUCGGAAACUGCCUUUGAUACUAUCUAUCUUGAAUAUUGUGGAGGUAAGCGGAAUAUGUCAUGUAGCGGUGAAAUGCUUAGAUAUGACAUAGAACACCUAUUGCGAAAGGCAGCUUACUACGCAUAUAUUGACGU
RNAcentral lists this ribosomal RNA (227 nucleotides) under uncultured bacterium. RNAcentral describes it as "partial 16S ribosomal RNA". It matches the Rfam family "Bacterial small subunit ribosomal RNA", at positions 524 to 746 of the family's 1533-position model. The record is from RNAcentral.